RNAcentral lists this long non-coding RNA (255 nucleotides) under Ananas comosus (pineapple). RNAcentral describes it as "long non-coding RNA (ACOM_LNC019226)". Lineage: Eukaryota; Viridiplantae; Streptophyta; Magnoliopsida; Poales; Bromeliaceae. The record is from RNAcentral.
ACUUUCGGAAUUUUUCUUUUUUUUCCCUUCUCUUUUAAGAUGCACAUGGGGCGCGAUAAGAUAUGUACACAUCUAAUUAAUUACUACUAGGCCCACACGAUCGAGCGUUUGUUUUUUUGAGAAAUGCUAUACUUAAGGAGCUAGCCCAUUUUGGGUUGUAAUUAAUCUAUAUAAAUUCCUACUAGAUUAUAACAAUAAUCCUUCUCGGGUUUAGCCAAUUAUUGUUAGAUUUUCAGUAUUAAAGAAAAAACUGAU